This 497-nucleotide ribosomal RNA is filed under the name uncultured bacterium. RNAcentral describes it as "partial 16S ribosomal RNA". It matches the Rfam family "Bacterial small subunit ribosomal RNA", at positions 28 to 507 of the family's 1533-position model. The record is from RNAcentral.
GAUGAACGCUGGCGGCGUGCCUAAUACAUGCAAGUCGAGCGAACGGACGAGAAGCUUGCUUUUCUGAUGUUAGCGGCGGACGGGUGAGUAACACGUGGAUAACCUACCUAUAAGACUGGGAUAACUUCGGGAAACCGGAGCUAAUACCGGAUAAUAUUUUGAACCGCAUGGUUCAAAAGUGAAAGACGGUCUUGCUGUCACUUAUAGAUGGAUCCGCGCUGCAUUAGCUAGUUGGUAAGGUAACGGCUUACCAAGGCAACGAUGCAUAGCCGACCUGAGAGGGUGGUCGGCCACACUGGAACUGAGACACGGUCCAGACUCCUACGGGAGGCAGCAGUAGGGAAUCUUCCGCAAUGGGCGAAAGCCUGACGGAGCAACGCCGCGUGAGUGAUGAAGGUCUUCGGAUCGUAAAACUCUGUUAUUAGGGAAGAACAUAUGUGUAAGUAACUGUGCACAUCUUGACGGUACCUAAUCAGAAAGACACGGCUAACUACGUG